This 468-nucleotide ribosomal RNA is filed under the name uncultured bacterium. RNAcentral describes it as "partial 16S ribosomal RNA". It matches the Rfam family "Bacterial small subunit ribosomal RNA", at positions 28 to 507 of the family's 1533-position model. The record is from RNAcentral.
GACGAACGCUGGCGGCGUGCUUAACACAUGCAAGUCGAACGGAAAGGCCCUGCAUCUGUGGGGUGCUCGAGUGGCGAACGGAUGAGUAACAAGCGAGUAACCUGCCCUUGACUUUGGGAUAACUUCAGGAAACUGGGGCUAAUACCGGAUAGGAGCUCCUGCUGCAUGGCGGGGGUUGGAAAGUUUCGGCGGUUGGGGAUGGACUCGCGGCUUAUCAGCUUGUUGGUGGGGUAGUGGCUUACCAAGGCUUUGACGGGUAGCCGGCCUGAGAGGGUGACCGGCCACAGUGGGACUGAGAUACGGCCCAGACUCCUACGGGAGGCAGCAGUGGGGGAUAGUGCACGAUGGGCGGAAGCCUGAUGCAGCAACGCCGCGUGCGGGAUGACGGCCUUCGGGUUGUAAACCGCUUUCGCCUGUGACGAAGCGGGAUUGACGGUAAUGGGUAAAGAAGCACCGGCUAACUACGUG